Molecule: transfer RNA, 84 nt
Filed under: Paraeggerthella hongkongensis
Lineage: Bacteria; Bacillati; Actinomycetota; Coriobacteriia; Eggerthellales; Eggerthellaceae
Description: tRNA-Arg
Rfam family: tRNA
About the family: Transfer RNA (tRNA) molecules are approximately 80 nucleotides in length.
Source: RNAcentral
GCCCUUGUAGCUCAGGGGAUAGAGCGUCUGCCUCCGGAGCAGAAAGCCGCAGGUUCGAAUCCAUUUUGCCUGUUCAGAGUGCAA